UUCAUCGUGAUAUCAUGAAAACACUCCUAAUCAAGAUAAAGCAUAACAUUCUCCUUUCCCUGCUUCAUCAAUCGGAUGAAAUAUGCGCGGGAAGUAUGGGAUUCGAUAGGAACAUAUGGUGACAUGCUCAUGGCGAUCAAGGAGCACGUGUUUGUAAUUGUUAGGUUUGGGCACCCGAGAUGUGCUAGUGUGCCUUUUUAUGAAUAAGAGAAUCAAGAUCUGACAAAUCACAGGAAGAAACGAAAAGGAAAAUGCCAGCAAGGAAAAA
Nematostella vectensis (starlet sea anemone) is the source of this 268-nucleotide long non-coding RNA. RefSeq lists it as uncharacterized. The transcript has 2 exons. Lineage: Eukaryota; Metazoa; Cnidaria; Anthozoa; Actiniaria; Edwardsiidae. The record is from RefSeq and is a predicted model, not a curated record.